Molecule: long non-coding RNA, 491 nt
Organism: Diceros bicornis minor
Lineage: Eukaryota; Metazoa; Chordata; Mammalia; Perissodactyla; Rhinocerotidae
Exons: 3
Source: RefSeq, a predicted model, not a curated record
CUUGUUGCUGGGUUCUCUGAAGCCUAGACCCUGACUGCUGGUCUGUGUUGCCCCCUCACCCACCCAGGCGUGCCCUAUUCUGUGAAGGUGCUGGCUCAGGCCAGGCCCUCAGGCCCCUGCGUGGCCCACCAGCCCUCUGCUGCCCUCCUGCAGCCCUUCAGAGACAGCUGCCCAUCCCUCCCUGGCUGUCCCACUACUCUGUGCAGUGGGUGAAGAUGGACUUCAUGGCCAAGUUCUCGGUGUGGCUCACGGUCAUUCCCCAGUCACCAGCCUAUGCUGAGGUGGCCUGACUCCUGCCCCAGGCACCCAGCGAGUUCUGGUUGCCUGAGGGGACAGCGGAAUGGCUAACUGCAGCCCUAAGAACGCUUUCUCAGACUCACGCUCACAGAAGCUCACAGGCACCUCCCGGGAUGUGACUCUGGGCCCCACGGCCAUCAUGUCCCUCCUGGUCUCCUUCUGUACCAUCCAUGAGCCCGCCUGUGCUGUGCUGC